GAUGAACGCUGGCGGCGUGCCUAAUACAUGCGAGUCGAGCGAACGGACGAGAAGCUUGCUUCUCUGAUGUUAGCGGCGGACGGGUGAGUAAUACGUGGAUAACCUACCUAUAAGACUGGGAUAACUUCGGGAAACCGGAGCUAAUACCGGAUAAUAUUUUGAACCGCAUGGUUCAAAAGUGAAAGACGGUCUUGCUGUCACUUAUAGAUGGAUCCGCGCUGCAUUAGCUAGUUGGUAAGGUAACGGCUUACCAAGGCAACGAUGCAUAGCCGACCUGAGAGGGUGAUCGGCCACACUGGAACUGAGACACGGUCCAGACUCCUACGGGAGGCAGCAGUAGGGAAUCUUCCGCAAUGGGCGAAAGCCUGACGGAGCAACGCCGCGUGAGUGAUGAAGGUCUUCGGAUCGUAAAACUCUGUUAUUAGGGAAGAACAUAUGUGUAAGUAACUGUGCACAUCUUGACGGUACCUAAUCAGAAAGCCACGGCUAACUACGUG
This 497-nucleotide ribosomal RNA is filed under the name uncultured bacterium. RNAcentral's name for it is "partial 16S ribosomal RNA". It matches the Rfam family "Bacterial small subunit ribosomal RNA", at positions 28 to 507 of the family's 1533-position model. The record is from RNAcentral.